CUUGCUUCUCUUGAGAGCGGCGGACGGGUGAGUAAUGCCUAGGAAUCUGCCUGGUAGUGGGGGAUAACGUUCGGAAACGGACGCUAAUACCGCAUACGUCCUACGGGAGAAAGCAGGGGACCUUCGGGCCUUGCGCUAUCAGAUGAGCCUAGGUCGGAUUAGCUAGUUGGUGGGGUAAUGGCUCACCAAGGCGACGAUCCGUAACUGGUCUGAGAGGAUGAUCAGUCACACUGGAACUGAGACACGGUCCAGACUCCUACGGGAGGCAGCAGUGGGGAAUAUUGGACAAUGGGCGAAAGCCUGAUCCAGCCAUGCCGCGUGUGUGAAGACGGUCUUCGGAUUGUAAAGCACUUUAAGUUGGGAGGAAGGGUUGUAGAUUAAUACUCUGCAAUUUUGACGUUACCGACAGAAUAAGCACCGGCUAACUCUGUGCCAGCAGCCGCGGUAAUACAGAGGGUGCAAGCGUUAAUCGGAAUUACUGGGCGUAAAGCGCGCGUAGGUGGUUUGUUAAGUUGGAUGUGAAAUCCCCGGGCUCAACCUGGGAACUGCAUUCAAAACUGACUGACUAGAGUAUGGUAGAGGGUGGUGGAAUUUCCUGUGUAGCGGUGAAAUGCGUAGAUAUAGGAAGGAACACCAGUGGCGAA
RNAcentral lists this ribosomal RNA (644 nucleotides) under uncultured bacterium. Its description in RNAcentral is "bacterial SSU rRNA". It matches the Rfam family "Bacterial small subunit ribosomal RNA", at positions 79 to 719 of the family's 1533-position model. The record is from RNAcentral.